Molecule: long non-coding RNA, 1515 nt
Organism: Juglans regia (Persian walnut)
Lineage: Eukaryota; Viridiplantae; Streptophyta; Magnoliopsida; Fagales; Juglandaceae
Exons: 5
Source: RefSeq, a predicted model, not a curated record
ACCACUUUAGCAUAAACUUCAUCCACUUUCUUACUAUUUUCUACUGCUAUUAACUCUAGUACUGACCAUGUCUGUUUCAACGCAAAGGAAGAUUUUAAAUGUUUUCCAGUGGCUUCCAUUAAUAUGUUUUCAGAGUUAAGGCCCUUUAGAGUAAUUUACUUUCGGCCAGAUGAUCAAUCCAUAAGCAUUUUCCCAUGCACUUAUAUACACUCGGGGCAUACUUAUUACAAGAACUCAAAACGCAGUGUUUAUAACAUGAUGUGUAAAACACAACAAUCAAAACGUAAAACCCAUUAUUACAUCCGUUCCUUUUACAUGAGAUGCACCAUCCCAAAAUGCCUCGUUUCAUAUUUUCUACUUUCCUCCUUUCCAGCCGUUAAUACCGUUGCUCGCAUCAUAACACUCCCACAAUGGAGGCUCAAGACUGUUAAGCCGUUAUUUUGAUAUAUAUCUUGCUUGACCAAGAGUCGAGUAAGAGUCGAAUUCACUCUCCCAUUGGAAUAAUAGUACUAACCUUUCAAAAUAUGUGUCGGUUUUUAGGAAUAAGGAACCAAUAAUCGGAAGGAAGCACGCAAAAAGUGGUCACAUAUAUAACAAGAUAACAGGCCGGACUUACACCCUCACUACAACAGCGACAAUCUCAAUAGAUAUCCCUUGCCGAGUGGAGCUAGCACGACUCUGGCCAACAUGUCUAGCUUUAACCAUACAUGCAUCAUGUUAUUGUUACUCAUUCUUGUUUCUAUUGAUGAUAUAUAUAGUUGCAAUUCGAGGCAUAGUCAACAAGGGGUUUCAACUCCGUUUUGAUAUCGAUGUACCCAUUCUUAUCUCGAUCAGCCUGACCAAAUCCCUUCAUUGCUCUAAACCAAGGCCAACGUGAUCCGAGUUCGUGAAAGGCCGCCUUCACCUCCGACCUCGAAAGUCUGCCAUCUUUGUUGUCAUCGUGCUUCUCGAAAAUGGCCUUUAACUCCGCUUCAGUGCAGGGGACUUGAUCACCCUUAUAUUUUCUUUGCUCAGAGUACUCUACCACAGUGGGGGGCAACCUACCCAUUUUAUAAGGGACCACGAAAUCUUGUAGCGACUCUUGGGUGAAGAUGUUAAAGGAUUACUCGCUCUUGUCAAGUAAGCUUCUUCGAUACAAGUGGCCCCAAAUCAGGUGUUCCGAGAGAACUUAUCGCCCGUGAGACAGUGAGAAUCCAUAUAACUUUGAUGGGGCGGGAAUCAUAGGUAUGUGAUUGUCGGGGUCAAAUCAGCAGCUUAAAACUUAUCUCCAGGACAAAGCCGAAAAUCAAUCCAAGAGUUUGCCUGUUUGUAUACACUUGCACAAUACGAUGGGAUGUAUAGUUCGUGUAGUCAUCAUCUCGGUAUCACGAGUUCCACCAAACUGCAUGUGGGGGUCGAGGGCGCUACAGAUAACGACACCAAAGGACCUUUCCUAAAUUUCUCUAGUGUAUUGAGAGAUAUGUGAGGCCAUGAGAGAUUGUAAAAUCUCCCAUUAUAAUGGAUUUCACUCCCAAA